RNAcentral lists this ribosomal RNA (253 nucleotides) under Faecalibacterium prausnitzii. RNAcentral's name for it is "partial 16S ribosomal RNA". It matches the Rfam family "Bacterial small subunit ribosomal RNA", at positions 524 to 776 of the family's 1533-position model. The record is from RNAcentral. Lineage: Bacteria; Bacillati; Bacillota; Clostridia; Eubacteriales; Oscillospiraceae.
AACGUAGGUCACAAGCGUUGUCCGGAAUUACUGGGUGUAAAGGGAGCGCAGGCGGGAAGACAAGUUGGAAGUGAAAUCUAUGGGCUCAACCCAUAAACUGCUUUCAAAACUGUUUUUCUUGAGUAGUGCAGAGGUAGACGGAAUUCCCGGUGUAGCGGUGGAAUGCGUAGAUAUCGGGAGGAACACCAGUGGCGAAGGCGGCCUACUGGGCACCAACUGACGCUGAGGCUCGAAAGUGUGGGUAGCAAACAGG